UACGGGGGGGGCAAGCGUUGUUCGGAAGUUACUGGGCGUAAAGGGCUCGUAGGCGGCCAAUCUUGAAGUCGGGAUGGUGAAAUCCCCAGGCCUCAACUUGGGGAACUGACAUCCGGAUACUGGGGGGCUUGAAUCCGGGAGAGGGAUGUGGAAUUCCAGGUGUAGCGGUGAAAUGCGUAGAUAUCUGGAGGAACACCGGUGGCGAAGGCGGCAUCCUGGACCGGUAUUGACGCUGAGGCGCGAAAGCCAGGGGAGCAAACGGG
This 263-nucleotide ribosomal RNA is filed under the name uncultured bacterium. RNAcentral's name for it is "partial 16S ribosomal RNA". It matches the Rfam family "Bacterial small subunit ribosomal RNA", at positions 524 to 776 of the family's 1533-position model. The record is from RNAcentral.